RNAcentral lists this ribosomal RNA (484 nucleotides) under uncultured bacterium. RNAcentral's name for it is "partial 16S ribosomal RNA". It matches the Rfam family "Bacterial small subunit ribosomal RNA", at positions 30 to 507 of the family's 1533-position model. The record is from RNAcentral.
AUUGAACGCUGGCGGCAUGCUUUACACAUGCAAGUCGAACGGCAGCGCGGGCUUCGGCCUGGCGGCGAGUGGCGAACGGGUGAGUAAUACAUCGGAACGUGCCCAGUAGUGGGGGAUAGCUCGGCGAAAGCCGGAUUAAUCCCGCAUACGACCUGAGGUUGAAAGCGGGGGAUCUUCGGACCUCGCGCUAUUUGAGCGGCCGAUGGCAGAUUAGCUAGUUGGUGGGGUAAAGGCCUACCAAGGCGACGAUCUGUAGCUUGUCUGAGAGGACGACCAGCCACACGGGAACUGAGACACGGCCAAGACUCCUACGGGAGGAAGCAGUGGGGAAUUUUGGACAAUGGGCGAAAGCCUGAUCCAGCAAUGCCGCGUGUGUGAUGAAGGCCUUCGGGUUGUAAAGCACUUUUGGCGGGAACGAAAAGGACUGUGCCAAUACCACGGUUCGAUGACGGUACCCGCAGAAUAAGCACCGGCUAACUACGUG